Molecule: long non-coding RNA, 618 nt
Organism: Mercurialis annua (annual mercury)
Lineage: Eukaryota; Viridiplantae; Streptophyta; Magnoliopsida; Malpighiales; Euphorbiaceae
Exons: 2
Source: RefSeq, a predicted model, not a curated record
UCUCCAUUUGCGUGGGUGUCGAAUUCUCCAUAGAACCAAAUACCAUUUCUUAUGCUUUUAAUUUCUCACAAAAUUUCCUUAACGAAAAUUGACGGGAAACUUGCGUAGAUCAUUAUUCUAAUCUUUAAUCAACGAUCAAGGCGUUUUCCGGCCAAAACCACCGGAAACCGGUGACCGGAAACUUGAGCAAACGGGACAGAGCGUGUUGGCUCAGUCCCAAGCUCAAUUGGCAGCAGUUACUGCUGAAACUGUUCCGGCAGUAAAUGAAGGGGGGGCGAGCCCCGGGUGCCAAAAUAUUUGACGAAAAAAUAUUUUUGGAUUUUAAAAGUGUGGUGUAUUUGUUGAGAUUUUCUAAAAGUGUAUUUUUAAAAAAUUAUGUGGAUUGUAUAAGUGUUGGAGUUAUAAUGGAAUUAUAAUUCUAUGUUUAUUUAUUGAAUUAAAUAAACUAGUGUGGUUAGAGUUUAUCGUAUGGAAAUACGAUGACGCGGAAACCGGCGAGCAAAGGAUUUGAAAUUUCGACGGGCGAAAUUUUUAAAUUUGGAAUAAGCAAAUACUGUGGGUGUGUUUACAACUUAUACUGCUAAAUAUUAGUAUUAAAAAUAUUUACGAACUGCUUUA